Molecule: ribosomal RNA, 429 nt
Filed under: Verrucomicrobiota bacterium
Lineage: Bacteria; Pseudomonadati; Verrucomicrobiota
Description: Verrucomicrobia bacterium partial 16S ribosomal RNA
Rfam family: Bacterial small subunit ribosomal RNA
Source: RNAcentral
UAGGGAAUCUUCCGCAAUGGACGCAAGUCUGACGGAGCAACGCCGCGUGAGUGAAGAAGGUUUUCGGAUCGUAAAACUCUGUUGUAAGAGAAGAACAAAUUGUAGAGUAACUGCUACAGUCUUGACGGUAUCUUACCAGAAAGCCACGGCUAACUACGUGCCAGCAGCCGCGGUAAUACGUAGGUGGCAAGCGUUGUCCGGAUUUAUUGGGCGUAAAGGGGGCGCAGGCUGCUUCUUAAGUCUGAUGUGAAAGCCCACGGCUUAACCGUGGAAGUGCAUUGGAAACUGGGAAGCUUGAGUACAGAAGAGGAAAGUGGAACUCCAUGUGUAGCGGUGGAAUGCGUAGAUAUAUGGAAGAACACCAGUAGCGAAAGCGACUUUCUGGUCUGUCACUGACGCUGAGGCCCGAAAGCGUGGGUAGCAAACAGG